Molecule: ribosomal RNA, 449 nt
Filed under: uncultured bacterium
Lineage: Bacteria
Description: partial 16S ribosomal RNA
Rfam family: Bacterial small subunit ribosomal RNA
Source: RNAcentral
GUGGGGAAUCUUCCGCAAUGGACGAAAGUCUGACGGAGCGACGCCGCGUGAGUGAUGAAGGCCUUCGGGUCGUAAAGCUCUGUCAUCGGGGACGAACGGCCUCAGCAGGUAAUGGCUGGGGAUUGACGGUACCCGAGAAGGAAGCCACGGCUAACUACGUGCCAGCAGCCGCGGUAAUACGUAGGUGGCAAGCGUUGUCCGGAAUUAUUGGGCGUAAAGCGCGCGCAGGUGGGAUCUUAAGUCCAUUUUGAAAGUUCGGAGCUCAACUCCGUGAUGGGAUGGAAACUGGGAUUCUUGAGUACCGGAGAGGAAAGCGGAAUUCCCCGUGUAGCGGUGAAAUGCGUAGAUAUGGGGAGGAACACCAGUGGCGAAGGCGGCUUUCUGGACGGUGUCUGACACUGAGGCGCGAAAGCCAGGGGAGCGAACGGGAUUAGAUACCCCGGUAGUCC